Molecule: long non-coding RNA, 286 nt
Filed under: Elaeis guineensis (African oil palm)
Lineage: Eukaryota; Viridiplantae; Streptophyta; Magnoliopsida; Arecales; Arecaceae
Description: long non-coding RNA (EGUI_LNC066182)
Source: RNAcentral
UGGAGUUCGAUUGCUAGAGAAGUCCGUCUGCAAGGGUUUGGUUGGCACUGUUGAAGUUCGGUUGGCGCUGUUGAAGGUUGAUGGCUGGAGAGGUACAGAAGAUACUGGAGACAGUCAAUCACUGUAGAAAUCCAACUGCUGGAGCCCGUCCAUUGUAGAAGUUCGACUAGAAGCCAAUUCUAUUGUAGAAGUUUGGACGGAGUCCGAUUCUUGUAGGAGUCUGGAAGGAGGCCACUUACUGUAGAAGCUCGGAUGGAGACCGGUUGCCAUGAAAAUCUAAAUGGAG